Molecule: small RNA, 1846 nt
Filed under: Histoplasma capsulatum
Lineage: Eukaryota; Fungi; Ascomycota; Eurotiomycetes; Onygenales; Ajellomycetaceae
Description: hypothetical RNA
Source: RNAcentral
GGCCUCACGCUCCGGACAAUCUGUGAAAAAACCAUAGUGAAUAAAACAUAUCAUGACACUUGUUUUUUGAUAUCUUUGGUCAAAUUAUUACCUGGAGAAUCUUGGAUCUUUGCGACUCUUUCAUCACCUCGACCUUUCCGAAGCAAGACCCGAGUGGUUGAAGCGUGUGCUAAGAUAUGCCCUCCAACCGGUUUGCGUCCAUCUGCGCCUGCAAAAAGGGCACUCGCGCCAGGAUCGCUCUGUACCUGAUUUGUCUGUGUUGUGGGAUAAGCAUGAAUACCAAGAAGAGUUAAGCUUUCUCUGUUCUUCGAGGUGCAUACCAUCAAAACGCAAACGUUAAAUUCUGGAGCGCGAAUUGUGAGCCAAGACAGUCCAUGGAAGAUGCAGAGCGAUAUCGUCAUACACACCUUCUGCCAUGUGCGCGAGUUUCAUUAAGAACUGGUUCAACUUUUGCUGUCGAUCCGCUAGUUCCCCACGCCCACAGUAAUCGACGCGGAAACAGUUCAUUAUGCUAUCGAUGAUCAAUAGGCGGUACUCACCACCCACAAACUCCUUUGACAAUGUGUUCAGAAGUUCCAGCUGGUGCUCGCUGUUCAGUGCUCUAGCAUAAGCAAUAUUCUCCAACGCGGAAUCAGGGUCAACACCAAACCGCUCCGCAAUUUGUGCGAUUCUUUCAGGCCGGAAUGUGCCUUCUGUAUCGAUAUAGGCCACUUUCCCUUCCGCACCGCCCAUGUCCUUUGGCAGCUGAGCCAUGACGGACAUCGUGUGCGAAAGCUGUGUUUUACCACAGCGAAACUCGCCAUAUACCUCGCUGAUACUCAUGCUCUGAAAUCCACUGCACAGAGGCUUGAGUCAAUGUCUCUACUCAAGGACCUUCACGCUCGGGAUAAUGCUAAACACACCCUGCCAAGAUAGAGUCGAAUUGCUUGCUCCCUGUGGAAAUUUUUACAACUCGCUUCCUCUGGUGGCCUAGUUCCAUUGCAGUUAUGAAACCAGAAGCUGAGGGCUACGUGUAUGUCCAUGUUAGUCAAAAAAAAAAAUAGAUUUCCCUAUGCCACCAGUGGCAACCGCUGGACGAGCGAAACAAUUUUGGAAGAGAGGUACAUACCUGGCAUUUCUGAAUAGCCUCUUUAAUUUUCUCUACCUUGACUUCACUGAAGCCCCUGAUUUUCAACAACGUCUUUCUCGUGGCUCCAUGAACAGACUAGAAUAUAUCCGAUCAUCCCCAUUUCCAUUGCCACGAAUGUUAGUCUUUUACUAAUUUCAAAUACGACUAAGACACGUAAAAUGAGAGUAGUGGGACUGCCAUCAUUAAUUAAAAGGUAAGGAAGGAGAAUAGUGAAUGAGGUUUGGAAACUAAUCCCGUACAGCAACAGUAUAAAAUCCAUUUGCUUUCAGUUUCGUAAUAUCUGCAGCUCCCACCCCUUAACACACGAGGACCACCAUAAAAUUGCUGUUAGCUGAGCUGUUUUUAUCCUUCUGGUAUGAAAAAUGGCCUGAUAACUGAGAAGAGGAGGUAGGAACUAACCAUGAGCUUGGAUACCGUCGAUAUCGACGAUGAAGACAUCCUGUAGAACAAUGGAUAGAUGUAGGGUUAAUCGAAUGUGGCCUCUUCGAUAGUACCUCAACCGCGAUGGGAAUCAAGGCUCUUUCUCACAUCAUCAAACUCAUCGCUGGCAUUCGACGCAGGCAUGGCUUUUGCUUGCUACUGAGCUAUCUACCGUCGUCCGUAAAUGGAGAUUUUGGAUCGGAGGGAAAUAUUUAAAGAACUUGCAGAUAUGGCAACGUACAAUGCAGUAAGAUUGUGGAAGCAGUCUAGAGCGGCAAAGUGAUAAACUGAUAUCGA